CCGCGUGCAGGAAGACGGCCCUAUGGGUUGUAAACUGCUUUUAUAUGAGAAGAAACCCCUUGAUGCGUUGAGGGCUGACGGUAUCAUAUGAAUAAGGAUCGGCUAACUUCGUGCCAGCAGCCGCGGUAAGACGAAGGAUCCAAGCGUUGUCCGGAUUUACUGGGUUUAAAGGGUGCGUAGGCGGGAUAUUAAGUCAGUGGUGAAAGCCCACAGCUCAACUGUGGAACUGCCAUUGAAACUGAUAUUCUUGAAUAUGGUUGAGGUAGAUGGAAUAUAACAUGUAGCGGUGAAAUGCUUAGAUAUGUUAUAGAACACCGAUUGCGAAGGCAGUCUGCUAUGCCAUCAUUGACGCUGAGGCACGAAAGCGUGGGGAGCAAACAGGAUUAGAUACCCUGGUAGUCCACGCCCUAAACGUUGAUUACUCGCUGUUGGCGAUACACUGUCAGCGGCUAAGCGAAAGCGUUAAGUAAUCCACCUGGGAAGUACGUCCGCAAGGAUGAANACUCAAGGAAUUGACGGGGGCCCGCACAAGCGGAGGAGCAUGUGGUUUACUUCCGAAUGAUACGCGAGAAACCUUACUAGGUUUAAUGUCCGGUGACGGUGCCGGAAGUGGUUCCUUU
RNAcentral lists this ribosomal RNA (620 nucleotides) under uncultured bacterium. RNAcentral describes it as "bacterial SSU rRNA". It matches the Rfam family "Bacterial small subunit ribosomal RNA", at positions 397 to 1016 of the family's 1533-position model. The record is from RNAcentral.